RNAcentral lists this small nuclear RNA (24 nucleotides) under Arabidopsis thaliana (thale cress). RNAcentral describes it as "snRNA_13563". The record is from RNAcentral. Lineage: Eukaryota; Viridiplantae; Streptophyta; Magnoliopsida; Brassicales; Brassicaceae.
GAACAAUAGGGUGGAGUGUGACAU